AGCGAUGCGGUGCGUCUGUUUCCUCGCUGUGCAGCCAUCCUCAAGUUCUGCGCCGCCUAGAGAUUCUGCUCCUCGGUUUGCCUCUAUAGGUUGAAUUAUGGCUCCUGGCUCCUCUCUGCCGCCCUCUCUUUUCUCUCUACUCAUUUCCCACUGAAGGAAAAUUUGUAUUUUGGCAAGAUCAUGAAAGAGAGAAAUAAAGGAUAACUACAUCCUCUCAAUGACACUUUCCUUCUCUAAUCCUUUGGGUCCUCCUCACUAAAGCUUCUUUUACAAGGACAAGCACAUG
Molecule: long non-coding RNA, 286 nt
Organism: Carlito syrichta (Philippine tarsier)
Lineage: Eukaryota; Metazoa; Chordata; Mammalia; Primates; Tarsiidae
Exons: 2
Source: RefSeq, a predicted model, not a curated record